Molecule: ribosomal RNA, 272 nt
Filed under: uncultured bacterium
Lineage: Bacteria
Description: partial 16S ribosomal RNA
Rfam family: Bacterial small subunit ribosomal RNA
Source: RNAcentral
UACGGAGGGUGCGAGCGUUAAUCGGAAUUACUGGGCGUAAAGCGCAUGCAGGUGGUUUGUUAAGUCAGAUGUGAAAGCCCGGGGUCAACCUCGGAAUAGCAUUUGAAACUGGCAGACUAGAGUACUGUAGAGGGGGGUAGAAUUUCAGGUGUAGCGGUGAAAUGCGUAGAGAUCUGAAGGAAUACCGGUGGCGAAGGCGGCCCCCUGGACAGAUACUGACACUCAGAUGCGAAAGGCGUGGGGACAAACAGGAUUAGAUACCCCUGUAGUCC